AACCAUAGAAACCUGCGGAGUACCUGCGGAAGGAUCAUUACCGAGUUUACAACUCCCAAACCCCUGUGAACAUACCUAUACGUUGCCUCGGCGGAUCAGCCCGCGCCCUGUAAAAAGGGACGGCCCGCCCGAGGACCCUAAACUCUGUUUUUAGUGGAACUUCUGAGUAAAACAAACAAAUAAAUCAAAACUUUCAACAACGGAUCU
Molecule: unclassified non-coding RNA, 207 nt
Filed under: soil metagenome
Description: partial contains 5.8S ribosomal RNA, internal transcribed spacer 2, and large subunit ribosomal RNA
Source: RNAcentral